Molecule: long non-coding RNA, 5258 nt
Filed under: Cucumis sativus (cucumber)
Lineage: Eukaryota; Viridiplantae; Streptophyta; Magnoliopsida; Cucurbitales; Cucurbitaceae
Description: long non-coding RNA (CSAT_LNC002032)
Source: RNAcentral
GAAAUUAGAAAGAACAUAUGUAUAGGUUUUGAUAUAUGGAAUAUGAGUUGGAAAAAGUUGUGUGGAGGAUCGUAUCAUCCAAAUUAGAAUUUUUUUUAAGAAAGAAAGAGAAAGAGAGUGAAUGAGAUGGGGAUAGGCAAUGCAUGCAUAAUAAUAUUCCUGAUAACAAUAUAUAAUAAUGUGUUACAUGGGGAACCAGAUAAGUUGCUUAUUGGUCAUCUUCUCCAUGCGCCAUCCUCCCACAUGCCUGUCAACCUCAACCAAUCCCCUUCCAUUUUCUUCUGUCUUUUCUCCUCUUCUCCUAAACUUGCACUUAUACCAAUCAUAUCAAAACAUACCCGUAAAUGUAUAGUUGGUCAACAAAUUUAUAAAUAUAACAAAAUUUAGAUUUAACUCUUAAAAUAUUAAAUUUGUUAUCUUUAUAAUUAUUUUAAAAUAUUGUUAUACACUUAAUUAUUAAUUCUAAAAUUGUUAUCAUUAAAAUAGACCUAUUUAAAAGUAUGUGAACAAAAUAAUUGUUUAAAAAGUAUAAAAAUUAACUAAAUUAACAUGAAAUGGUACUUAAAUCUAAUUUAUAUAUUUGCUUUUUUCUCUGUCCUUUUUCUUUUCACGUGAUUAUCGUUUAUUUGCCGUUGUUUGAAAAUUAGAACAUUAUGUGGAGCCACACAUUUAAUUUUAAUAAAUUUUUUAGGGUUAUUUUAAUUGAAGUAAAGUGGUUGAUAUAAUCAAAGUCGAUAGUAGGCAGGAAGGGACUAUAGGUGGGACUAAGAAAAGAGAAAAAAGAUGCAAAUAUAUAAAUUAAAUUUAAAUACUAUUCCGUUUAUUUAGUUCAUUUUUUAUACUUUUUAGUACUAAAAUAUCCUUUCUAAAUUUAAAAAGUGUUACAUGUUUAGUGUUUAAUUAAGUUUUUGAAUUUGAUUUCGACUUAAGAGGACAGAUUUCAAAAUUUUACUAUUCACAUUUGAAUUUCGUUUUGAUUUGGUCCAUAAAUUUUAAUAUUUAUAUUUUUAUCCUUAACUUUUCACUAAAUACUUAUUUCUCAUAUUCAACGUUAUUAUACGUUAAUAAGUGGAAAAUUAAAUUUAAAAUUUUACUAUAUGAUUACUUUAAAUUAAUUAAUAAAUAUUAAAAUCAAUAUGUUUGUAAGUGAGUAUUUAAUGAGAAGUUGAGGUUUAAAAUCUAAAAGAUGGAAUGAUAGGGUAUCAAAUUGAAACAAAACUUAAAUCUUAAAAGUAAAAUUGCAACAGUGUGAUACUUAAGGACUAAAUGAAAACCAAAGAUCAAAACUUAAUAACAUUUUGAAACUUAAGAAUAAAAUAGAAACUAGAUCCAAAAUGGAUAGAUUAAAAAAGAAUAGAUGUUAUUUUGUUUUCUAAAAUUAAAAUUUAGUAACAAGUAUCCUUAAAUUAAUUUUUGAAAAAUUCGAACAAGCAAUUUGCAACAGUUUGUUGAAUGAAAGAAAGCUGGAUCAAGAAAACAAAAAGAAAGAAGUUACCUCCACCAGCUAACGCAAUGGAUAAUAAAAAAGAAAUUAUAUAUUAAGAAAAACAGAGUUUCUUUCUCUCACAUUGUAUCUUUUUCAAGUGUUUCUAGUGAAUUUAAUUAUAAAAUUUUUAAAAAGCAAAAGUGCUUCUAUGUGAAUUUUGCUUUGAUAUGUUUGUAGAAGUUGAAAUUGGACCCAACAAUUGAUUGCAACUUAAUUUUUAUGAAAACUGUUUAAGACUGAAGUUUGUAAGUUUGAGUCCAAUUUUAACAUUUGAAUUCAUGAGAUAUUUUGGAGCUAUAUAUUUGUUUUUAGUUAUUUUGGUUCUCUCUAUGUGUUUUCAUUUUAUAUUUAAAAGUGGUUUAAAAAGGAUAGAUUUUGGAUUUUGAAAAACUAAGAAUUGAUGUUACAUUCAGAAAUUGAAAAUGAGAAGCACCAUUUUAAAAUAAACAAAGACAAAAAAACAAAAACAAAAGCAAUAACACAAAGAGAGCGCUAAAAGACAUGUCAUCCUUUUUAAAUUUGACACACAAAAAAAAAACAAAACAAAACAAAAAAAAAAUUCUAAAAUCCAAUUUUACUUAUAAAAUUUAGUUAAAAGAUCAAAUAUAUAUAAAAAAGAAAAACAUAUAAUUUAAAAGAAAUUUUUUUAAAACAUAACAAAUCAACCAAAAUACUUAUAAAAUAAAACAUAAUAAAGAUGAACCGCAAUAAAUAAAAAAAUAUAUUUUUAUAGAUAAAUGGUAAUAUUUUAGAAAUUUUACUAUUUAAAAUAUAUAUUUUAAAAGAAAUUGACAAAAAGAAAAAACAUGAAUUAGAAAGUAAAAAUUAAAAAGAAAAAAAGAACAAAAAAAGUAAGAACAAAAUCACUGUUUGACCAUCAAUAUCAACAAAAGAAAUUAAAAAAAAGGAAAGGUUAGAAAAAAAGAUAUAAAACCGUGGGACCAAGAGAUAGAGAUUGAAGCAUAGGAAACCCACCUGAUUUGGAGUUCAAAUAAGAUCCAAAUGAACCCUACCUCACAUGACACACUUUUUUGCUUUAAACAAUCUAUACUAUUCUAUGCCAUCCUAUCAACACUCACUAUACUAAUAAAUAUAUUACUUUUCUCUUCAUCAUUUCCUAGCUCUUAUUUGACAAAAUUAACCCAUCCCCCAUCAUUUAUAUGUUUCAUAAAUUACAUUUCCAAUCCCUAUAUUACAUCCUUUUUGCAUUUUAGUUCAUAUAUAUGACCUAUAUGUGCAAUUUUAUCUACUUUCUUAUACUUUUCUAAUUUGUAUUAAUCAACAUCGUCAUUGUAAAUAUUCUCCUACGUGACAUUACGUUAUCAUAUAAAUAACGUAUAAUUCUGUUUUUUUCUUCUUCUUCUUUUAAUUACUAUUAGACAAACGAGAAAUAAAAACUUGCAAUUGGAAUGUUUUGAAUUUGUUGUAUGAUGUAUCGAACAAUAAUGACUCCAAGAUUUAGAGAAAUACAUUAUAUAAACUCUUUAAUUUUAGAGGUCUCAUCACUCUCUAUUCAGUAACAUAUUUUUCACUAAUAAAGUUGUUCUAUCUUUGUCUUGUGGACAUAGCUAACACGUUUUAGUGAACCACAUAAUCUAUGUAAAGGUUAAUGAUCUUUGUAUUAUUUGUUUGUUAGUGUCAAUUAGAUUUAUCAUAUUGGAUUCAUAAUUUUAAUUUGUUUAUUACCUAAGACGUAUCAAAUUAUAUUUUUAUAUUUCAAUGCAAACAUUAUUUAACUAUUCACUUAAAAUUGCUAAGCUCAAACCAUUGUACGAUUAUUUAAAUAAAAGAUGUUUUCGUAACUUCGUACAUAAGAUACUAACUAUCAAUUCAAAACAAUAUCUUAUUUCCAAACAAAAAAGAAAAAAGAAAAAACUCUAACUAAUAUAUUGUGUUUAAAUAGGUUAUUUCAUUCCUUAAAAUUCCAAAUUUUUUAUUUUAUUUUUAGAGAAAAGAAAAAGAACAUUUUGUGUAUUAUUUGUUGCUAAACAUAGUGGAACACCUUCAUAAAUCACUAUAUAGUAUAUACAUUACCCCAUCAAAAUAGAUACCAAACUUUUUUCUAAGAAAUAGUAUUUUAUUGCCUAACCUAAUUAAUAUAUUGCCUCUAAACUCGGCUCCACUAUUAUUGCCCAUGACAUUAAUAGUAUACACAUUUCAAAUAAUUUAAACAAUUAGCAACUUAUUAAUGAGAUUUACCAAAGAUGGUUUAUGUUGUAAAAAAAAAGAAAUAUAUAACUAUAUAUGAUUACUAAAUAAUUUAACAGACUUAAAAGUGACUUUAAACAAACCUUAAAAAAAAAAAAGUAACGUAAGCACAAUUUAAUAAAUUAUGAUAAUUCUUUUCUUUUGUUCGAAGUUAGAAGAUUGAGGUAUUGAAUAAAUUUAAAAAUUCAUAAUAUGAGAAUAUAUAGUAGGCAAAAGAAACUCAAAUAUGUGAACCUUUCACUUUUUUGGAAGUUUGGAAUGGGAUGUAUUUUUUUUUGGUUAAGGUUCUUCUUUCCAUUUAUCAUUUAGAGUUCGAGUCUUUAUCUAAUUUAAGUUUUAUGGAUUUUGAUCGACGUAUUGUUUCAUUUCGAAAUCAUUUAACAACAGAUGAGUAAGUUCAUAUAUUUUUUAAAAAAAUGUCUCCUCAUAUUUCUAAUGCGAGAUAAUCUUGCUUUCACUUUCAAAUUCGAUUUUAAUACAUAGUAGGAAUUUUAAAAUAACAAACAUAAUUCAAAUUAUAUUUAAAUUAAGAUUAAACACCAUCUUUGUAAUACUUUUUCAACCUAUUCAAUUUCUGAUUCUCUAUACUUUCAAUACAACCUAACUUUAAUUUUGAUUGCUAAUUAAUUAUUGGUUAUUUUUUUAAAAAAAUAAUUAUACUCGGCUAGUAUUUUCACAAUAUACUUUUGUAAAACAUGUUCCUAUCUUAUACUUUCUACAUAUGCUUAAGAUACUUUCUACAUGCUUAUAAUCAUUAUUGAUGACAAAUUUAGGAUAUUUAAGCCUUCGCAUAAUGAUAAUUGUAAAUUUGUAUUUUGAAGAAAUAAAAGAAAAGUUAUUAUAAUUGUAACAACAAAGAAGAUAUCAGAAGUUUAAAGAAAUUAAUGCCAAAUAAGGAAAAGAAUGUCAAAUGAAUUCAAUGUUCAAAGUGAUCAUAAUUGUAUAAAUAGAUAAUGAAAUCGGAAGUUUAAAUUAUUUCAUGUAGAUUGACAAUAAUUUAUUUAUAAAGAAUUUGACUAAUAACGAUUUAACUCAGCUAUCCUACAAUUAAGAUAAAUCAACCUUUUCCUAAUCCUAAAAAACUACACCAAAUCUAUUUUAAAUGAUUUAAUCUUUGAUAUCGAAAUUCACCAAUAAUAAAAUUUAUUAUUAUUUAAAAAAUUUCAAUAAAAAAAUUAGUUUUAAUUAAGUGCAGAAAUUUAAAGUUUAUUUAGUAUUAAUAUUAUAAAAAAAUUGUAAAAAAUAGGUACCAAAUAUUUAAUGAAUUUCGUGGUUUAGUUUAUUUAUUUAUUAAUUAAAAAAAACCCCUUAAUUAUCCCUAUUGGCAUGUAAUGUUUAUUUAAAUUACCUUAUUUAAUUAAUUGCGUGGAGGAAACGGAUUAACUGUUGGCAUGAAGUUAAAAGGCAUUUCUUUGUGACGCAUAUAUAUAAAUGCAAAAAGCCUCUUCUUUUUUUCCUUCAUCUUUCAAAACACUUUUGCCACCUCCUCUCUUUCUUUUGGUCCCUCCAGGGAGUUUUCGCCAUGGCCGCCACAGCCGCCGCUUCCAACCACCGUGUCGCACUU